RNAcentral lists this ribosomal RNA (253 nucleotides) under uncultured bacterium. RNAcentral describes it as "partial 16S ribosomal RNA". It matches the Rfam family "Bacterial small subunit ribosomal RNA", at positions 524 to 776 of the family's 1533-position model. The record is from RNAcentral.
UACGAAGGGUGCUAGCGUUGUUCGGAAUGACUGGGCGUAAAGGGAGCGUAGGCGGUCCUAUAAGUCAAAUGUGAAAUUCCUGGGCUCAACCUGGGGACUGCAUAUGAUACUGUAGGACUAGAGAUCACGAGGGGAAAACGGAAUUGUGCGUGUAGAGGUGAAAUUCGUAGAUAUGCACAAGAACACCGGUGGCGAAGGCGGUUUUCUGGAGUGAUACUGACGCUAAGGCUCGAAAGCGUGGGGAGCAAACAGG